UCCGGAUUAGAUACCCGGGUAGUCCCAGCCGUAAACGAUGGGUGCUAGGUGUGGGGAGGUCUUCAACCCUCUCCGUGUCGAAGCUAACGCAUUAAGCACCCCGCCUGGGGAGUACGGCCGCAAGGCUAAAACUCAAAGGAAUUGACGGGGACCCGCACAAGCGGCGGAGCAUGUGGCUCAAUUCGAUGCAACGCGAAGAACCUUACCUGGGUUUGACAUGCACGGUAAACCCGGUGAAAGCCGGGCUGGUUCGUCCGCCGUGCACAGGUGCUGCAUGGCUGUCGUCAGCUCGUGCCGUGAGGUGUUGGCUUAAGUGCCGCAACGAGCGCAACCCCUGCCCUUAGUUGCCAGCGGGUAAUGCCGGGGACUCUAAGGGGACCGCCGGGGACAACUCGGAGGA
RNAcentral lists this unclassified non-coding RNA (400 nucleotides) under uncultured Actinomycetes bacterium. Its description in RNAcentral is "uncultured actinobacterium contains 16S-23S intergenic spacer region". It matches the Rfam family "Bacterial small subunit ribosomal RNA", at positions 772 to 1170 of the family's 1533-position model. Lineage: Bacteria; Bacillati; Actinomycetota; Actinomycetes. The record is from RNAcentral.